GACGAACGCUGGCGGCGUGCUUAACACAUGCAAGUCGAACGGAAAGGCCCUGCUUUUGUGGGGUGCUCGAGUGGCGAACGGGUGAGUAACACGUGAGUAACCUGCCCUUGACUUUGGGAUAACUUCAGGAAACUGGGGCUAAUACCGGAUAGGAGCUCCUGCUGCAUGGUGGGGGUUGGAAAGUUUCGGCGGUUGGGGAUGGACUCGCGGCUUAUCAGCUUGUUGGUGGGGUAGUGGCUUACCAAGGCUUUGACGGGUAGCCGGCCUGAGAGGGUGACCGGCCACAUUGGAACUGAGAUACGGCCCAGACUCCUACGGGAGGCAGCAGUGGGGAAUAUUGCACAAGGGGCGAAAGCCGGAUGCGGAACCGCCGCGUGCGGGAUGACGGCCUUCGGGUUGUAAACCGCUUUGGCCUGUGACGAAGCGUGGGUGACGGUAAUGGGUAAAGAAGCACCGGCUAACUACGU
RNAcentral lists this ribosomal RNA (467 nucleotides) under uncultured bacterium. RNAcentral's name for it is "partial 16S ribosomal RNA". It matches the Rfam family "Bacterial small subunit ribosomal RNA", at positions 28 to 506 of the family's 1533-position model. The record is from RNAcentral.